This 845-nucleotide long non-coding RNA is filed under the name Capra hircus (goat). Its description in RNAcentral is "lncRNA (ENSCHIG00000005081.1)". Lineage: Eukaryota; Metazoa; Chordata; Mammalia; Artiodactyla; Bovidae. The record is from RNAcentral.
CUUCUGGGGCUGGACAAACACCACAAACUCUAUCUACUGAGGGUAUACAUUGAAAGAUUAAAUGGUGGUGAGCCUAACUGAAUCUCGGAAGUUUUGAAGGAUGGCCAAUUCUUUAGCGCUGAGCCAUCUGGGAAGCCACGUCGCAAGGAGUGGACGUCACCAUCCUAUCUUUCCAAAUGUUAAGGGAUCGCAAGACAAUGAACAUCCUUUAACCAUCAGAAAAGACUGGGAAACAAUGAGACGUGGAGUGAGACUCAGCGAGACUCCCGUCUGCAGCCUAGAGAAUGGAUGUCUCUUCCAUCUAAGCCAUCCUCGGCUCUGUGAGUGAACGUCGCUGUUGCAUUCAGAAGACACAUCCAGGCUAAUUUGUUUAACAAAUGAAGAGAGGUGUGAGGCACUCCGGGUCACGGGAGCAAGUGAUGUUGUCGCUCUCUUUAUAAAUCAUUCCCGCUGCUCCCGAGACAACGCCAGGUUAACCCGAGGGGCCUCUGUUUCCACUGGCAAAGCUGAGGAAUUCAGGUAAACAGAUUGCGGGAGCAUUUACUGGUCCAAAAAUGAUGAGAAUCUUGCAAAGAUAACGUGGGAACACUAUAGUUCAUUGAUGUGACUGCCUCAUUCCAAGGGCUGCCAUCUGGUCACCAAGCGGAGAUAAGAACUGGGCUAUACUACAGCCUGGCUUGUGAGAUCCAGCUGUCCUUGGCUAGGACCGACUCACCUUCCACUGACCCAUCAACCCAGGGUCCUCCUAGCCCAGCACAUUGGUUAAAUGAUUCUACUAAUGACUGUAGAAUUGAUGAUAACCAUUAACUGUAAUGAUUACCAUUAAACCGUAGAUUUGAUGACAG